RNAcentral lists this ribosomal RNA (1438 nucleotides) under Enterococcus faecium. RNAcentral describes it as "bacterial SSU rRNA". It matches the Rfam family "Bacterial small subunit ribosomal RNA". Lineage: Bacteria; Bacillati; Bacillota; Bacilli; Lactobacillales; Enterococcaceae. The record is from RNAcentral.
CGCUACCUAUACAUGCAGUCGAACGCUUCUUUUUCCACCGGAGCUUGCUCCACCGGAAAAAGAGGAGUGGCGAACGGGUGAGUAACACGUGGGUAACCUGCCCAUCAGAAGGGGAUAACACUUGGAAACAGGUGCUAAUACCGUAUAACAAUCGAAACCGCAUGGUUUUGAUUUGAAAGGCGCUUUCGGGUGUCGCUGAUGGAUGGACCCGCGGUGCAUUAGCUAGUUGGUGAGGUAACGGCUCACCAAGGCCACGAUGCAUAGCCGACCUGAGAGGGUGAUCGGCCACAUUGGGACUGAGACACGGCCCAAACUCCUACGGGAGGCAGCAGUAGGGAAUCUUCGGCAAUGGACGAAAGUCUGACCGAGCAACGCCGCGUGAGUGAAGAAGGUUUUCGGAUCGUAAAACUCUGUUGUUAGAGAAGAACAAGGAUGAGAGUAACUGUUCAUCCCUUGACGGUAUCUAACCAGAAAGCCACGGCUAACUACGUGCCAGCAGCCGCGGUAAUACGUAGGUGGCAAGCGUUGUCCGGAUUUAUUGGGCGUAAAGCGAGCGCAGGCGGUUUCUUAAGUCUGAUGUGAAAGCCCCCGGCUCAACCGGGGAGGGUCAUUGGAAACUGGGAGACUUGAGUGCAGAAGAGGAGAGUGGAAUUCCAUGUGUAGCGGUGAAAUGCGUAGAUAUAUGGAGGAACACCAGUGGCGAAGGCGGCUCUCUGGUCUGUAACUGACGCUGAGGCUCGAAAGCGUGGGGAGCAAACAGGAUUAGAUACCCUGGUAGUCCACGCCGUAAACGAUGAGUGCUAAGUGUUGGAGGGUUUCCGCCCUUCAGUGCUGCAGCUAACGCAUUAAGCACUCCGCCUGGGGAGUACGACCGCAAGGUUGAAACUCAAAGGAAUUGACGGGGGCCCGCACAAGCGGUGGAGCAUGUGGUUUAAUUCGAAGCAACGCGAAGAACCUUACCAGGUCUUGACAUCCUUUGACCACUCUAGAGAUAGAGCUUCCCCUUCGGGGGCAAAGUGACAGGUGGUGCAUGGUUGUCGUCAGCUCGUGUCGUGAGAUGUUGGGUUAAGUCCCGCAACGAGCGCAACCCUUAUUGUUAGUUGCCAUCAUUCAGUUGGGCACUCUAGCAAGACUGCCGGUGACAAACCGGAGGAAAGUGGGGGAUGACGUCAAAUCAUCAUGCCCCUUAUGACCUGGGGUACCAACCUGCUACAAUGGGGAAGUACAACAAGUUCGGAAAUCCGGAGGGUUAAGCUAUUCCUUAAAGCUCCUUCCAUUUCCGAUUGAAGGGGGCACUCCCCUCGGCUUGAACCGAAUCCCUUAUAAUCCUGGAAAACACCCCCCUUGAAAAAGUUCCCUGGCUUUGAACACCCCCUCGGCACCCCGAAGUUUGAACCCGAAUCUGGGGGACUUUUGGCGCCUACGAAAGAUGGAAAGG